AGACCCGAAACCCGGUGAUCUAGCCAUGGGCAGGUUGAAGGUUGGGUAACACUAACUGGAGGACCGAACCGACUAAUGUUGAAAAAUUAGCGGAUGACCUGUGGCUGGGGGUGAAAGGCCAAUCAAACCGGGAGAUAGCUGGUUCUCCCCGAAAGCUAUUUAGGUAGCGCCUCGUGAAUUCAUCUCCGGGGGUAGAGCACUGUUUCGGCUAGGGGGCCAUCCCGGCUUACCAACCCGAUGCAAACUGCGAAUACCGGAGAAUGUUAUCACGGGAGACACACGGCGGGUGCUAACGUCCGUCGUGAAGAGGGAAACAACCCAGACCGCCAGCUAAGGUCCCAAAGUCAUGGUUAAGUGGGAAACGAUGUGGGAAGGCCCAGACAGCCAGGAUGUUGGCUUAGAAGCAGCCAUCAUUUAAAGAAAGCGUAAUAGCUCACUGGUCGAGUCGGCCUGCGCGGAAGAUGUAACGGGGCUAAACCAUGCACCGAAGCUGCGGCAGCGAACGUAUCACCCAAGACAACUUUACGGAGUUGACGAUUGACGGAGCGAAGCGACGUCAAAGCGUUCAUUAAAGUCGAGUUGGCUUAGGGAU
This 592-nucleotide ribosomal RNA is filed under the name Salmonella enterica. Its description in RNAcentral is "partial 23S ribosomal RNA". It matches the Rfam family "Bacterial large subunit ribosomal RNA", at positions 711 to 1236 of the family's 2925-position model. RNAcentral also lists the same sequence under 2 other names. Lineage: Bacteria; Pseudomonadati; Pseudomonadota; Gammaproteobacteria; Enterobacterales; Enterobacteriaceae. The record is from RNAcentral.